AAGGAGAUAAAAUAACCGAUGAUGUG
This 26-nucleotide small RNA is filed under the name Bombyx mori (domestic silkworm). RNAcentral describes it as "ovarian small RNA-10631". The record is from RNAcentral. Lineage: Eukaryota; Metazoa; Arthropoda; Insecta; Lepidoptera; Bombycidae.